RNAcentral lists this ribosomal RNA (447 nucleotides) under uncultured bacterium. Its description in RNAcentral is "partial 16S ribosomal RNA". It matches the Rfam family "Bacterial small subunit ribosomal RNA", at positions 338 to 795 of the family's 1533-position model. The record is from RNAcentral.
CCUACGGGAGGCUGCAGUUUCGAAUCAUUCACAAUGGGCGAAAGCCUGAUGGUGCGACGCCGCGUGAGGGAUGAAGGUCUUCGGAUUGUAAACCUCUGUCACUGGGGAAGAAACGCUUUGAGUUAAUAGUUCAAAGCCUGACUUAACCCGGAGAGGAAGCAGUGGCUAACUCUGUGCCAGCAGCCGCGGUAAUACAGAGACUGCAAGCGUUAUUCGGAUUCAGUAGGCGGCAAUGGGUCUGAGGCGGCCGAUCCCGGAGCUUAACUCCGGAACUGCGCCUCAAACUACACGGCUAGAGCAUUGGAGAGGGAAGUGGAAUUCACGGUGUAGCAGUGAAAUGCGUAGAUAUCGUGAGGAACACCAGUGGCGAAGGCGACUUCCUGGACAAUUGCUGACGCUCAGGCACGAAAGCGUGGGGAGCAAAAGGGAUUAGAUACCCGAGUAGUC